UACGAAGGGUGCAAACGUUGCUCGGAAUUAUUGGGCGUAAAGCGCACGUAGGCGGCUUAGCAAGUCCCAUGUGAAAGCCCACGGCUUAACCGUGGAAGUGCAUGGGAAACUGCUGAGCUUGAGUAACUUAAGAGGAUCGCGGAAUUCCCGGUGUAGAGGUGAAAUUCGUAGAUAUCGGGAAGGAACACCAGUGGCGAAGGGCGGACGAUCUGGGAAGAUACGUGACGC
This 228-nucleotide ribosomal RNA is filed under the name uncultured bacterium. Its description in RNAcentral is "partial 16S ribosomal RNA". It matches the Rfam family "Bacterial small subunit ribosomal RNA", at positions 524 to 746 of the family's 1533-position model. The record is from RNAcentral.